UGCAGUCGAGCGAAUGGAUUGAGAGCUUGCUCUCAAGAAGUUAGCGGCGGACGGGUGAGUAACACGUGGGUAACCUGCCCAUAAGACUGGGAUAACUCCGGGAAACCGGGGCUAAUACCGGAUAACAUUUUGAACUGCAUGGUUCGAAAUUGAAAGGCGGCUUCGGCUGUCACUUAUGGAUGGACCCGCGUCGCAUUAGCUAGUUGGUGAGGUAACGGCUCACCAAGGCAACGAUGCGUAGCCGACCUGAGAGGGUGAUCGGCCACACUGGGACUGAGACACGGCCCAGACUCCUACGGGAGGCAGCAGUAGGGAAUCUUCCGCAAUGGACGAAAGUCUGACGGAGCAACGCCGCGUGAGUGAUGAAGGCUUUCGGGUCGUAAAACUCUGUUGUUAGGGAAGAACAAGUGCUAGUUGAAUAAGCUGGCACCUUGACGGUACCUAACCAGAAAGCCACGGCUAACUACGUGCCAGCAGCCGCGGUAAUACGUAGGUGGCAAGCGUUAUCCGGAAUUAUUGGGCGUAAAGCGCGCGCAGGUGGUUUCUUAAGUCUGAUGUGAAAGCCCACGGCUCAACCGUGGAGGGUCAUUGGAAACUGGGAGACUUGAGUGCAGAAGAGGAAAGUGGAAUUCCAUGUGUAGCGGUGAAAUGCGUAGAGAUAUGGAGGAACACCA
This 674-nucleotide ribosomal RNA is filed under the name Bacillus sp. AT-MI-11. RNAcentral's name for it is "bacterial SSU rRNA". It matches the Rfam family "Bacterial small subunit ribosomal RNA", at positions 56 to 711 of the family's 1533-position model. The record is from RNAcentral. Lineage: Bacteria; Bacillati; Bacillota; Bacilli; Caryophanales; Bacillaceae.